Non-coding RNA from Mycena rebaudengoi, 96 nucleotides. Lineage: Eukaryota; Fungi; Basidiomycota; Agaricomycetes; Agaricales; Mycenaceae. The record is from the annotation of a GenBank genome assembly.
GACCCAGUGGUGCAAUGUUCAGCACACCUGCACAAUUUAAUCGCUCCUAUAGGUGUUGUUCUGCAGGAGAUCCCUGUUCAACUCGGGGCUGGGUCA